UUUCCGUAGGUGAACCUGCGGAAGGAUCAUUACUGAGUGAGGGCCCCUCGGGGUCCAACCUCCCACCCGUGUUUAACGUACCUUGUUGCUUCGGCGGGCCCGCCUCACGGCCGCCGGGGGGCAUCUGCCCCCGGGCCCGCGCCCGCCGAAGCCACCUGUGAACGCUGUCUGAAGUAUGCAGUCUGAGACAAUUAUUAAAUUAAUUAAAACUUUCAACAACGGAUCUCUUGGUUCCG
Molecule: unclassified non-coding RNA, 236 nt
Filed under: plant metagenome
Description: partial contains small subunit ribosomal RNA, internal transcribed spacer 1, and 5.8S ribosomal RNA
Source: RNAcentral